ACAGUGGACGCGAGCAUCUGUGGCCAAGUUUUUAAGGGCGCACGGUGGAUGCCUUGGCACCAGGAACCGAUGAAGGACGUGGGAGGCCACGAUAGUCCCCGGGGAGUCGUCAACCAGGCUUUGAUCCGGGGGUUUCCGAAUGGGGAAACCCGGCAGUCGUCAUGGGCUGUCACCCGCUGCUGAACACAUAGGCAGUGUGGAGGGAACGAGGGGAAGUGAAACAUCUCAGUACCCUCAGGAAGAGAAAACAACCGUGAUUCCGGGAGUAGUGGCGAGCGAAACCGGAUGAGGCCAAACCGUAUGCGUGUGAGACCCGGCAGGGGUUGCGUAUACGGGGUUGUGGGAUCUCUCUUCUGUUGUCUGCCGGCGACAGGACGAGUCAGAAACCGUUGAUGUAGGCGAAGGACAUGCGAAAGGUCCGGCGUAGAGGGUAAGACCCCCGUAGUCGAAACAUCAGCGGCUCGUUUGAGAGACACCCAAGUAGCACGGGGCCCGAGAAAUCCCGUGUGAAUCUGGCGGGACCACCCGCUAAGCCUAAAUAUUCCCUGGUGACCGAUAGCGGAUAGUACCGUGAGGGAAUGGUGAAAAGUACCCCGGGAGGGGAGUGAAAUAGUACCUGAAACCGUGUGCCUACAAGCCGUGGGAGCACUUUGGUGUGACUGCGUGCCUUUUGAAGAAUGAGCCUGCGAGUUUGCGGUGUGUUGCGAGGUUAACCCGUGUGGGGAAGCCGUAGCGAAAGCGAGUCCGAAUAGGGCGUUGGAGUAGCACGCUCAAGACCCGAAGCGGAGUGAUCUAGCCAUGGGCAGGUUGAAGCGGAGGUAAGACUUCGUGGAGGACCGAACCCACCAGGGUUGAAAACCUGGGGGAUGACCUGUGGUUAGGGGUGAAAGGCCAAUCAAACUCCGUGAUAGCUGGUUCUCCCCGAAAUGCAUUUAGGUGCAGCGUCGUGUGUUUCUUGCCGGAGGUAGAGCACUGGAUAGGCGAUGGGCCCUACCGGGUUACUGACCUUAGCCAAACUCCGAAUGCCGGUAAGUGAGAGCGCGGCAGUGAGACUGUGGGGGAUAAGCUCCAUGGUCGAGAGGGAAACAGCCCAGAGCAUCGACUAAGGCCCCUAAGCGUACGCUAAGUGGGAAAGGAUGUGGAGUCGCACAGACAACCAGGAGGUUGGCUUAGAAGCAGCCACCCUUGAAAGAGUGCGUAAUAGCUCACUGGUCUAGUGAUUCCGCGCCGACAAUGUAGCGGGGCUCAAGCGUACCGCCGAAGUCGUGUCAUUGACAUAUAUAGCCCCAACGGGUGUGUUGAUGGGUAGGGGAGCGUCGUCUGCCGGGUGAAGCGGCACUGGAAGGUAGUCGUGGACGGUUGACGAGUGAGAAUGCAGGCAUGAGUAGCGAUUCACACGUGAGAAACGUGUGCGCCGAUUGACUAAGGGUUCCUGGGUCAAGCUGAUCUGCCCAGGGUAAGUCGGGACCUAAGGCGAGGCCGACAGGCGUAGUCGAUGGAUAACCGGUUGAUAUUCCGGUACCCGCUGUGAAGCGUCAAACAUCGAGCAUCGUGAUGCUAAGGCCGUGAAGCCGCCCUGAUCUCUUCGGAGUUGAGGGGAGUGGUGGAGCCGCCGGACCAAGCGGUUAGUAGGUGAGUGAUGGGGUGACGCAGGAAGGUAGUCCAUCCCGGGCGGUGGUUGUCCCGGGGUAAGGGUGUAGGCCGGUGUGUAGGCAAAUCCGCACACCUUGUGGCUGAGACCUGAUGCCGAGCCGAUUGUGGUGAAGUGGAUGAUCCUAUGCUGUCGAGAAAAGCCUCUAGCGAGUUUCAUGGCGGCCCGUACCCUAAACCGACUCAGGUGGUCAGGUAGAGAAUACCGAGGCGUUCGGGUGAACUAUGGUUAAGGAACUCGGCAAAAUGCCCCCGUAACUUCGGGAGAAGGGGGGCCACGCCUGGUGAGAACACUUGCUGUUCGAGCUGGGGGUGGCCGCAGAGACCAGCGAGAAGCGACUGUUUACUAAAAACACAGGUCCGUGCGAAGCCGUAAGGCGAUGUAUACGGACUGACGCCUGCCCGGUGCUGGAACGUUAAGGGGACCGGUUAGCUUGGAUUCGUCCAGGCGAAGCUGAGAACUUAAGCGCCAGUAAACGGCGGUGGUAACUAUAACCAUCCUAAGGUAGCGAAAUUCCUUGUCGGGUAAGUUCCGACCUGCACGAAUGGCGUAACGACUUCUCGACUGUCUCAACCAUAGGCCCGGUGAAAUUGCACUACGAGUAAAGAUGCUCGUUUCGCGCAGCAGGACGGAAAGACCCCGGGACCUUUACUACAGUUUGAUAUUGGUGUUCGGUUCGGCUUGUGUAGGAUAGCUGGGAGACUUUGAAGCAGGCACGCCAGUGUUUGUGGAGUCGUCGUUGAAAUACCAGUCUGGUCGUGCUGGAUGUCUAACCUGGGUCCGUGAUCCGGAUCAGGGACAGUGUCUGAUGGGUAGUUUAACUGGGGCGGUUGCCUCCUAAAGAGUAACGGAGGCGCCCAAAGGUUCCCUCAGCCUGGUUGGCAAUCAGGUGUUGAGUGUAAGUGCACAAGGGAGCUUGACUGUGAGACCGACGGGUCGAGCAGGGACGAAAGUCGGGACUAGUGAUCCGGCGGUGGCUUGUGGAAGCGCCGUCGCUCAACGGAUAAAAGGUACCCCGGGGAUAACAGGCUGAUCUUCCCCAAGAGUCCAUAUCGACGGGAUGGUUUGGCACCUCGAUGUCGGCUCGUCGCAUCCUGGGGCUGGAGUCGGUCCCAAGGGUUGGGCUGUUCGCCCAUUAAAGCGGUACGCGAGCUGGGUUUAGAACGUCGUGAGACAGUUCGGUCCCUAUCCGCUGUGCGCGUAGGAGUCUUGAGAAGGGCUGUCCCUAGUACGAGAGGACCGGGACGGACGAACCUCUGGUGUGCCAGUUGUUCUGCCAAGGGCAUGGCUGGUUGGCUACGUUCGGGAGGGAUAACCGCUGAAAGCAUCUAAGCGGGAAGCCUGCUUCGAGAUGAGGACUCCCACCCACUUGAUGGGGUAAGGCUCCCAGUAGACGACUGGGUUGAUAGGCCGGAUCUGGAAGCCAGGUAACUGGUGGAGGUGACCGGUACUAAUAGGCCGAGGGCUUGUCCUCAGUUG
Molecule: ribosomal RNA, 3130 nt
Filed under: Streptomyces broussonetiae
Lineage: Bacteria; Bacillati; Actinomycetota; Actinomycetes; Kitasatosporales; Streptomycetaceae
Description: Streptomyces sp. T44 23S ribosomal RNA
Rfam family: Bacterial large subunit ribosomal RNA
Source: RNAcentral